RNAcentral lists this ribosomal RNA (426 nucleotides) under uncultured bacterium. Its description in RNAcentral is "bacterial SSU rRNA". It matches the Rfam family "Bacterial small subunit ribosomal RNA", at positions 356 to 773 of the family's 1533-position model. The record is from RNAcentral.
GGGGAAUAUUGGACAAUGGGGGGAACCCUGAUCCAGCCAUGCCGCGUGUGUGAAGAAGGCAUUUUUGUUGUAAAGCACUUUAAGCGAGGAGGAGGCUCUUCUAGUUAAUACCUAGGAUGAGUGGACGUUACUCGCAGAAUAAGCACCGGCUAACUCUGUGCCAGCAGCCGCGGUAAUACAGAGGGUGCGAGCGUUAAUCGGAUUUACUGGGCGUAAAGCGUGCGUAGGCGGCCAAUUAAGUCAAAUGUGAAAUCCCCGAGCUUAACUUGGGAAUUGCAUUCGAUACUGGUUGGCUAGAGUAUGGGAGAGGAUGGUAGAAUUCCAGGUGUAGCGGUGAAAUGCGUAGAGAUCUGGAGGAAUACCGAUGGCGAAGGCAGCCAUCUGGCCUAAUACUGACGCUGAGGUACGAAAGCAUGGGGAGCAAAC